This 1278-nucleotide ribosomal RNA is filed under the name Staphylococcus aureus. RNAcentral describes it as "partial 23S ribosomal RNA". It matches the Rfam family "Bacterial large subunit ribosomal RNA", at positions 1645 to 2925 of the family's 2925-position model. Lineage: Bacteria; Bacillati; Bacillota; Bacilli; Caryophanales; Staphylococcaceae. RNAcentral also lists the same sequence under 2 other names. The record is from RNAcentral.
UACCGCAAACCGACACAGGUAGUCAAGAUGAGAAUUCUAAGGUGAGCGAGCGAACUCUCGUUAAGGAACUCGGCAAAAUGACCCCGUAACUUCGGGAGAAGGGGUGCUCUUUAGGGUUAACGCCCAGAAGAGCCGCAGUGAAUAGGCCCAAGCGACUGUUUAUCAAAAACACAGGUCUCUGCUAAACCGUAAGGUGAUGUAUAGGGGCUGACGCCUGCCCGGUGCUGGAAGGUUAAGAGGAGUGGUUAGCUUCUGCGAAGCUACGAAUCGAAGCCCCAGUAAACGGCGGCCGUAACUAUAACGGUCCUAAGGUAGCGAAAUUCCUUGUCGGGUAAGUUCCGACCCGCACGAAAGGCGUAACGAUUUGGGCACUGUCUCAACGAGAGACUCGGUGAAAUCAUAGUACCUGUGAAGAUGCAGGUUACCCGCGACAGGACGGAAAGACCCCGUGGAGCUUUACUGUAGCCUGAUAUUGAAAUUCGGCACAGCUUGUACAGGAUAGGUAGGAGCCUUUGAAACGUGAGCGCUAGCUUACGUGGAGGCGCUGGUGGGAUACUACCCUAGCUGUGUUGGCUUUCUAACCCGCACCACUUAUCGUGGUGGGAGACAGUGUCAGGCGGGCAGUUUGACUGGGGCGGUCGCCUCCUAAAAGGUAACGGAGGCGCUCAAAGGUUCCCUCAGAAUGGUUGGAAAUCAUUCAUAGAGUGUAAAGGCAUAAGGGAGCUUGACUGCGAGACCUACAAGUCGAGCAGGGUCGAAAGACGGACUUAGUGAUCCGGUGGUUCCGCAUGGAAGGGCCAUCGCUCAACGGAUAAAAGCUACCCCGGGGAUAACAGGCUUAUCUCCCCCAAGAGUUCACAUCGACGGGGAGGUUUGGCACCUCGAUGUCGGCUCAUCGCAUCCUGGGGCUGUAGUCGGUCCCAAGGGUUGGGCUGUUCGCCCAUUAAAGCGGUACGCGAGCUGGGUUCAGAACGUCGUGAGACAGUUCGGUCCCUAUCCGUCGUGGGCGUAGGAAAUUUGAGAGGAGCUGUCCUUAGUACGAGAGGACCGGGAUGGACAUACCUCUGGUGUACCAGUUGUCGUGCCAACGGCAUAGCUGGGUAGCUAUGUGUGGACGGGAUAAGUGCUGAAAGCAUCUAAGCAUGAAGCCCCCCUCAAGAUGAGAUUUCCCAACUUCGGUUAUAAGAUCCCUCAAAGAUGAUGAGGUUAAUAGGUUCGAGGUGGAAGCAUGGUGACAUGUGGAGCUGACGAAUACUAAUCGAUCGAAGACUUAAUCAA